GACGAACGCUGGCGGCGUGCUUAACACAUGCAAGUCGAACGGAAAGGCCCUGCUGUUGUGGGGUGCUCGAGUGGCGAACGGGUGAGUAACACGUGAGUAACCUGCCCUUGACUUUGGGAUAACUUAAGGAAACUGGGGCUAAUACCGGAUAGGAGCUCCUGAGGCAUGGUGGGGGUUGGAAAGUUUCGGCGGUUGGGGAUGGACUCGCGGCUUAUCAGCUUGUUGGUGGGGUAGUGGCUUACCAAGGCUUUGACGGGUAGCCGGCCGUAGAGGGUGGCCGGCCACCUUGCUCCUGCGGUACGCCCCAGUCUCCUACGUUAGGCAGCAGUGGGGAAUAUUGCACAGUGGGCCGACGUCUGAUGCAGCAACGCCGCGUUCGGGAUGACGGCUUUCGGGUUGUAAACCGCUUUCGCCUGUUACGAAGCGUGAGUGACGGUACUGUGUAAAUAAGCACCGGCUAACUACGUG
This 468-nucleotide ribosomal RNA is filed under the name uncultured bacterium. RNAcentral describes it as "partial 16S ribosomal RNA". It matches the Rfam family "Bacterial small subunit ribosomal RNA", at positions 28 to 507 of the family's 1533-position model. The record is from RNAcentral.